Molecule: ribosomal RNA, 400 nt
Filed under: phytoplankton environmental sample
Lineage: Eukaryota
Description: partial small subunit ribosomal RNA
Rfam family: Eukaryotic small subunit ribosomal RNA
Source: RNAcentral
AGCUCCAAUAGCGUAUAUUAAAGUUGCUGCAGUUAAAAAGCUCGUAGUUGGAUUUGUGGGAUGGCCGUCCGGCGGGGGGCCAUUUAUUGGUCCCGUUUGUCCUGGUUUUCGGCCUUCCCUUUCUCGGGUCUAGCGUAUUGGCUGGCAUUAGGUUGUCGGCCGCUUCGCGCCCGUCGUUUACUGUGAAAAAAUUAGAGUGUUCAAAGCAGGCUUAGGCCGUUGGAUACAUUAGCAUGGAAUAAUGAGAUAGGGCCACCGCGGUCUAUUUUGUUGGUUUGCACGUUGUGGUAAUGAUUAACAGGAACGGUUGGGGGUAUUCGUAUUCAAUUGUCAGAGGUGAAAUUCUUGGAUUUGUGGAAGACGAACUACUGCGAAAGCAUUUACCAAGGAUGGUUUCAUU